AGUGUAGUUAAUAGCUGCAUUAUUUGACGUUAGCGACAGAAGAAGCACCGGCUAACUCCGUGCCAGCAGCCGCGGUAAUACGGAGGGUGCGAGCGUUAAUCGGAAUUACUGGGCGUAAAGCGCAUGCAGGUGGUUUGUUAAGUCAGAUGUGAAAGCCCGGGGCUCAACCUCGGAAUUGCAUUUGAAACUGGCAGACUAGAGUACUGUAGAGGGGGGUAGAAUUUCAGGUGUAGCGGUGAAAUGCGUAGAGAUCUGAAGGAAUACCGGUGGCGAAGGCGGCCCCCUGGACAGAUACUGACACUCAGAUGCGAAAGCGUGGGGAGCAAACAGGAUUAGAUACCCUGGUAGUCCACGCCGUAAACGAUGUCUACUUGGAGGUUGUGGCCUUGAGCCGUGGCUUUCGGAGCUAACGCGUUAAGUAGACCGCCUGGGGAGUACGGUCGCAAGAUUAAAACUCAAAUGAAUUGACGGGGGCCCGCACAAGCGGUGGAGCAUGUGGUUUAAUUCGAUGCAACGCGAAGAACCUUACCUACUCUUGACAUCCAGAGAACUUUCCAGAGAUGGAUUGGUGCCUUCGGGAACUCUGAGACAGGUGCUGCAUGGCUGUCGUCAGCUCGUGUUGUGAAAUGUUGGGUUAAGUCCCGCAACGAGCGCAACCCUUAUCCUUGUUUGCCAGCGAGUAAUGUCGGGAACUCCAGGGAGACUGCCGGUGAUAAACCGGAGGAAGGUGGGGACGACGUCAAGUCAUCAUGGCCCUUACGAGUAGGGCUACACACGUGCUACAAUGGCGCAUACAGAGGGCGGCCAACUUGCGAAAGUGAGCGAAUCCCAAAAAGUGCGUCGUAGUCCGGAUUGGAGUCUGCAACUCGACUCCAUGAAGUCGGAAUCGCUAGUAAUCGUGGAUCAGAAUGCCACGGUGAAUACGUUCCCGGGCCUUGUACACACCGCCCGUCACACCAUGGGAGUGGGCUGCAAAAGAAGUAGGUAGUUUAACCUUCGGGGGGACGCUUACCACUUUGUGGUUCAUGACUGGGGUGAAGUCGUAACAAGGUAGCGCUAGGGGAACCUGGCGCUGGAUCACCUCCUUA
This 1088-nucleotide ribosomal RNA is filed under the name Vibrio parahaemolyticus. RNAcentral's name for it is "bacterial SSU rRNA". It matches the Rfam family "Bacterial small subunit ribosomal RNA", at positions 446 to 1533 of the family's 1533-position model. The record is from RNAcentral. Lineage: Bacteria; Pseudomonadati; Pseudomonadota; Gammaproteobacteria; Vibrionales; Vibrionaceae.